CGGGAUGUGGCGCAGCUUGGCUAGCGCGCCUGCUUUGGGAGCAGGAGGUCGCCGGUUCAAAUCCGGCCAUCCCGACCA
Molecule: transfer RNA, 78 nt
Filed under: Actinomycetes bacterium
Lineage: Bacteria; Bacillati; Actinomycetota; Actinomycetes
Description: Actinobacteria bacterium tRNA-Pro
Rfam family: tRNA
About the family: Transfer RNA (tRNA) molecules are approximately 80 nucleotides in length. Their secondary structure includes four short double-helical elements and three loops (D, anti-codon, and T loops).
Source: RNAcentral